AAUGGCUGCAGUAAUUUGACUGUACAAAGGUAGCAUAAUCAUUAGUUUUUUAAUUAAAAGCUUGUAUGAAAGGUCGGACGAAAUAAAAUCUGUCUCUUUUUAAUAUAAUUAGAAUUUAAUUUUUAAGUUAAAAAGCUUAAAUAAAUUUAAAAGACGAGAAGACCCUAUAGAGUUUAAUAAUUUUUUUUUAUUAAUUAAUUUAGAUUUAUUUAUUUUAUUUUAAAAAAAUUAUUUUAUUGGGGUAAUAGAAAGAUUUAUAUAAUUCUUUUUUAAAUAAAUCAUUAAUUUAUGAAAAUUUAUGAUCCAUUAAAUUUUGAUUAUAAGAUUAAAUUACCUUAGGGAUAACAGCGUAAUUUUUUUUAAGAGUUCAUAUCGAUAAAAAAGUUUGCGACCUCGAUGUUGGAUUAAAGAUUAGUUUAGGUGUAGAAGUUUAAAUUUUUGGUCUGUUCGACCAUUAAAUCUUUACAUGAUCUGAGUUCAAACCGGUGUAAGCCAGGUCGGUU
Molecule: ribosomal RNA, 503 nt
Filed under: Trechus sendrai
Lineage: Eukaryota; Metazoa; Arthropoda; Insecta; Coleoptera; Carabidae
Description: partial 16S ribosomal RNA
Rfam family: Bacterial large subunit ribosomal RNA (bases 341-499)
Source: RNAcentral